UGGGGAAUUUUGGACAAUGGGCGAAAGCCUGAUCCAGCAAUGCCGCGUGUGUGAAGAAGGCCUUCGGGUUGUAAAGCACUUUUGUCCGGAAAGAAAUCCUUGGCUCUAAUACAGUCGGGGGAUGACGGUACCGGAAGAAUAAGCACCGGCUAACUACGUGCCAGCAGCCGCGGUAAUACGUAGGGUGCAAGCGUUAAUCGGAAUUACUGGGCGUAAAGCGUGCGCAGGCGGUUUGCUAAGACCGAUGUGAAAUCCCCGGGCUCAACCUGGGAACUGCAUUGGUGACUGGCAGGCUAGAGUAUGGCAGAGGGGGGUAGAAUUCCACGUGUAGCAGUGAAAUGCGUAGAGAUGUGGAGGAAUACCGAUGGCGAAGGCAGCCCCCUGGGCCAAUACUGACGCUCAUGCACGAAAGCGUGGGGAGCAAACAGGAUUAGAUACCCUGGUAGUCCACGCCCUAAACGAUGUCAACUAGUUGUUGGGGAUUCAUUUCCUUAGUAACGUAGCUAGCGCGUGAAGUUGACCGCCUGGGGAGUACGGUCGCAAGAUUAAAACUUAAAUGAAUUGACGGGGUCAUAGCUGUUUCCU
Molecule: ribosomal RNA, 585 nt
Filed under: uncultured bacterium
Lineage: Bacteria
Description: partial 16S ribosomal RNA
Rfam family: Bacterial small subunit ribosomal RNA
Source: RNAcentral